Passer domesticus (house sparrow) is the source of this 682-nucleotide long non-coding RNA. RefSeq lists it as uncharacterized. The record is from RefSeq and is a predicted model, not a curated record. Lineage: Eukaryota; Metazoa; Chordata; Aves; Passeriformes; Passeridae. The transcript has 3 exons.
CAAGCUACUCCAAAACCGGGGGGAGGGAGUAUUAAAACACUGGGGUGUGAUUUGACCUUCUCUAAAAAUUAGAUUAUAUAUAAUAAUUAUAUUAUUAUUUAUUAUCAUUUAAAAAUACUAAAAUCAGCUGGAGGAAAGUUUUGUUGCUGUCUCCAGUGCUCAAAAAAUGGAGAAUGGUGUGAGUCUCCUCACCAUCACUUCCCAGAUCAUAAGUCUGCUGUUACAGUCCAGAUGACCAGAACAUUUUAGAGAUCACAAAAAAUGGAAAUCAGAAUACUUUGGUCCAGCUUUGCACAACAGACAAUAAAACCACUUCUGUCUUAACAUGGGGCUGCCUGAAGCAAGCUCAACCGGAGCAUAUAAUUUAACUUUCACAAGAACCAAAAUUGUUCAGAACAAAUGUAUCAUAUAUAAAAUCUGCUUAUUCACUGUCAUCGGUUCUGCCAUGUUCAUAUCAUGCAGAGGAGGAAAAAUCCUUUCUAAAGAAAGAACUGUACAAAAUUAGCAGGAUUCCUCCCACCUUUGCAUGUUGCUUUCUGCAACGAGCCCAAGCAACAGCAUAAGAUACACCACAAAAUACUAGAUUUCAACACAGAACCUGAGCUUUCUGCUCCCCAAGCAUAAAAGUUGAUUAACUUCAUUUAGAUCAGGUAAUCUAGUGUUAUCAAAUUUUUAAAUUCUG